This 532-nucleotide ribosomal RNA is filed under the name uncultured bacterium. RNAcentral describes it as "bacterial SSU rRNA". It matches the Rfam family "Bacterial small subunit ribosomal RNA", at positions 979 to 1509 of the family's 1533-position model. The record is from RNAcentral.
CCUUGACAUACUAAGAACUUUCCAGAGAUGGAUUGGUGCCUUCGGGAACUUAGAUACAGGUGCUGCAUGGCUGUCGUCAGCUCGUGUCGUGAGAUGUUGGGUUAAGUCCCGCAACGAGCGCAACCCUUUUCCUUAUUUGCCAGCGGGUCAUGCCGGGAACUUUAAGGAUACUGCCAGUGACAAACUGGAGGAAGGCGGGGACGACGUCAAGUCAUCAUGGCCCUUACGGCCAGGGCUACACACGUGCUACAAUGGUCGGUACAAAGGGUUGCUACCUCGCGAGAGGAUGCUAAUCUCAAAAAAGCCGAUCGUAGUCCGGAUCGCAGUCUGCAACUCGACUGCGUGAAGUCGGAAUCGCUAGUAAUCGCGGAUCAGAAUGCCGCGGUGAAUACGUUCCCGGGCCUUGUACACACCGCCCGUCACACCAUGGGAGUUUGUUGCACCAGAAGUAGGUAGUCUAACCGCAAGGAGGACGCUUACCACGGUGUGGCCGAUGACUGGGGUGAAGUCGUAACAAGGUAAGCGUAGAUGA